Molecule: ribosomal RNA, 117 nt
Filed under: Pseudomonas sp. A25(2017)
Lineage: Bacteria; Pseudomonadati; Pseudomonadota; Gammaproteobacteria; Pseudomonadales; Pseudomonadaceae
Description: partial 16S ribosomal RNA
Rfam family: Bacterial small subunit ribosomal RNA
Source: RNAcentral
GUAGCUAGUCUAACCUUCGGGGGGACGGUUACCACGGUGUGAUUCAUGACUGGGGUGAAGUCGUAACAAGGUAGCCGUAGGGGAACCUGCGGCUGGAUCACCUCCUUAAUCGACGAC